CCUACGGGUGGCUGCAGUGAGGAAUAUUGGUCAAUGGGCGCGAGCCUGAACCAGCCAAGUAGCGUGAAGGAUGACUGCCCUACGGGUUGUAAACUUCUUUUAUAAAGGAAUAAAGUGAGGCACGUGUGCCUUUUUGUAUGUACUUUAUGAAUAAGGAUCGGCUAAAUCCGUGCCAGCAGGCGCGGUAAUACGGAGGAUUCGAGCGUUAUCCGUGUUUAUUGGGGUUAAAGGGAGCGUAGAGGGGUUGUUAAGUCCGUUGGGAAAGUUUGCGGGCCAAACGUCAAAUUGCAAUUGAUACUGGCAGUCUUGAGUACAGUUGAGGUAGGCGGAAUUCGUGGUGUAGCGGUGAAAUGCAUAGAUAUCACGCAGAACUCCGAUUGCGAAGGCAGCAUACUAAACUGCAACUGACAUUGAUGCACGAAAGUGUGGGUAUCGAACAGGAUUAGAUACCCGGGUAGUC
This 460-nucleotide ribosomal RNA is filed under the name uncultured bacterium. RNAcentral describes it as "partial 16S ribosomal RNA". It matches the Rfam family "Bacterial small subunit ribosomal RNA", at positions 338 to 795 of the family's 1533-position model. The record is from RNAcentral.